RNAcentral lists this ribosomal RNA (1046 nucleotides) under Rossellomorea vietnamensis. Its description in RNAcentral is "bacterial SSU rRNA". It matches the Rfam family "Bacterial small subunit ribosomal RNA", at positions 60 to 1083 of the family's 1533-position model. Lineage: Bacteria; Bacillati; Bacillota; Bacilli; Caryophanales; Bacillaceae. The record is from RNAcentral.
AGUCGAGUCGUUGCCUUGGAGCGCGGUCCCUGAUCUCACCGCUGUGCGCCGCGUAAUACGUCUUUAACCUGCCUGUAAGACUGGGAUAACUCCGGGAAACCGGGGCUAAUACCGGAUAACUCAUUUCCUCGCUUGAGGAAAUGUUGAAAGGUGGCUUUUAUCUACCACUUACAGAUGGACCCGCGGCGCAUUAGCUAGUUGGUGAGGUAACGGCUCACCAAGGCGACGAUGCGUAGCCGACCUGACAGGGUGAUCGGCCACACUGGGACUGAUACACGGCCCAGACUCCUACGGGAGGCAGCAGUAGGGAAUCUUCCGCAAUGGACGAAAGUCUGACGGAGCAACGCCGCGUGAGUGAUGAAGGUUUUCGGAUCGUAAAGCUCUGUUGUUAGGGAAGAACAAGUGCCGUUCGAAUAGGGCGGCACCUUGACGGUACCUAACCAGAAAGCCACGGCUAACUACGUGCCAGCAGCCGCGGUAAUACGUAGGUGGCAAGCGUUGUCCGGAAUUAUUGGGCGUAAAGCGCGCGCAGGUGGUUCCUUAAGUCUGAUGUGAAAGCCCACGGCUCAACCGUGGAGGGUCAUUGGAAACUGGGGAACUUGAGUGCAGAAGAGGAAAGUGGAAUUCCAAGUGUAGCGGUGAAAUGCGUAGAUAUUUGGAGGAACACCAGUGGCGAAGGCGACUUUCUGGUCUGUAACUGACACUGAGGCGCGAAAGCGUGGGGAGCAAACAGGAUUAGAUACCCUGGUAGUCCACGCCGUAAACGAUGAGUGCUAAGUGUUAGGGGGUUUCCGCCCCUUAGUGCUGCAGCUAACGCAUUAAGCACUCCGCCUGGGGAGUACGGUCGCAAGACUGAAACUCAAAGGAAUUGACGGGGGCCCGCACAAGCGGUGGAGCAUGUGGUUUAAUUCGAAGCAACGCGAAGAACCUUACCAGGUCUUGACAUCCUCUGACAACCCUAGAGAUAGGGCUUUCCCCUUCGGGGGACAGAGUGACAGGUGGUGCAUGGUUGUCGUCAGCUCGUGUCGUGAAGAUUGUUGGGUUAG